RNAcentral lists this long non-coding RNA (1836 nucleotides) under Salmo salar (Atlantic salmon). RNAcentral describes it as "lncRNA (ENSSSAG00000099767.1)". Lineage: Eukaryota; Metazoa; Chordata; Actinopteri; Salmoniformes; Salmonidae. The record is from RNAcentral.
GACAGAUCUGAUGCUCUGCACACUCAACAUUUUAUUAUCAGAAGGCAGCACCAAAACACUCUGGUCCAGCAGACCCAGUGGCUUAAGCUGUAGCUCCACAGGGCUCCUGGACAAUGGCAGCCACAGCAACACCAGGGCCCACUGCUGGAUCAUAAAACUGUUUGAUUUCCUAAUCCCUGGAGAGAGAGACUAAAAGGACCUGAGCCCUAGGACCAUGCCUCAGGACUACCUGGCAUGAUGACUCCUUGCUGUCCCCAGUCCACCUGGCCGUGCUGCUGCUCCAGUUUCAACUGUUCUGCCUGCGGCUAUGGAACCCUGACCUGUUCACCGGACGUGCUUGUUGCACCCUCGACAACUACUAUGAUUAUUAUUAUUUGACCAUGCUGGUCAUUUCUGAACAUUUUAACAUCUUGACCAUGUUCUGUUAUAAUAUCCACCCGGCACAGCCAGAAGAGGACUGGCCACCCCUCAUAGCCUGGUUCCUCUCUAGGUUUCGUCCUAGGUUUUUGGCCUUUCUAGGGAGUUUUUCCUAGGGAGUUUUUCCUAGCCACCGUGCUUCUUUCACAUGCAUUGCUUGCUGUUUGGGGUUUUAGGCUGGGUUUCUGUACAGCACUUUGAGAUAUCAGCUGAUGUACGAAGGGCUAUAUAAAUACAUUUGAUUUGAUUUGAUUUGAAUGGCUGGCACUUUUAUAAUAGGGCGAAAUCGUGCCCGAUUGCAGUUCCAAGGGCUUCCACUAGAUAUCAACAGUCUUUAGAAAGAGUUUCAGGCUGGUUUUUGGAAAAAUGAGCCAGAAAUUGUAGUUUUUCUAGGUGGCUGCCAUUUUGGCUGUAGUGUUUCCAAGCGCGUGAAUGAGAGCGCAUUCUUUGGUAUUUGUCUCCGGUAAAGAGAAUAACGAUUCUCCGUCUUAAAUUGUAUCAUUUAUUUGCAUAUUAGGGUACAUAUUGUAUGAUUAUAAACGUUGAUUGACUUGUUUGGAUAAGUUUAUUAGUAACGUUUGGGAUUCAUUUUGUAUGCAUUUUGAAGGAGGAAAACCGAGAGGAUUAUUGACUGAAGCGAACCAGCUAAACUGAGUUUUUAUGGAUAUAAAGAAGGACAUUAUCGAACAAAAGGACCAUUUGUAAUGUAACUGGGACCUUUUGGAGUGCCAACAGAAGAAGAUCUUCAAAGGUAAGGCAUAUAUUAUAUCGCUAUUUCUGACUUUCGUGUCGCAACUCCCUGGUUGAAAAUUAUUUGUUAUGCAUUUGUGUGCUGGGCGCUGUCCUCAGAUAAUCGCAUGGUUUGCUUUUUCCGUAAAGCCUUUUUGAAAUCUGACACGGCGGCUGGAUUAACAACAAGUUAAGCUUUAUUUUGAUGUAUUGCACUUGUGAUUUCUUGAAAGUUUAAUAUUUAUAGUAAUUUAAUUUGAAUUUGGCUCUCUGCAAUUUCACCGGAAAUUGUCGAAAUGGGACUUUAGUGUCCCACUAAUCCGCAAGAAGUUAACAAGUCUGACGAGCCCGACACGAACGAUAUACUGCUUUCUCGGGAACAAGCCCAGAUCACCGUGAUUUGCGUGAAGAAGAGGUGGAGAAAAAGGGGCCGGAGGGCAGGCUGUCUUCUGAGAAUUCGUAGGCAAUCGAAUAAACCCCCACAUCCUUCCUUUCUGCUAGCGAACGUGCAAUCUUUGGACAAUAAAAUAGAUGACCUACGUGGAAACAACCAACGAGACAUUCAAAACUGUAAUAUCUUAUGCCUCACGGAGUCGUGGCUGAACGACGACAUUAUCAAAAUACAACUGGUUGGUUAUAUGCUGUACCGAUUGGAUAGAGCAGCGGCGUCUGGUAAGACAAGGGGCGGUG